RNAcentral lists this ribosomal RNA (624 nucleotides) under uncultured Alphaproteobacteria bacterium. Its description in RNAcentral is "bacterial SSU rRNA". It matches the Rfam family "Bacterial small subunit ribosomal RNA", at positions 8 to 677 of the family's 1533-position model. The record is from RNAcentral. Lineage: Bacteria; Pseudomonadati; Pseudomonadota; Alphaproteobacteria.
AGAGUUUGAUCCUGGCUCAGAACGUACGCUGGCGGCACGCCUAACACAUGCAAGUCGAACGAAGUAGCAAUACUUAGUGGCAGACGGGUGAGUAACAUGUAGGUAUCUACCCUUUGGCCUGGAAUAACACGAGGAAACUUGUGCUAAUACCGGAUAAGUCUUUACGGAGAAAGCUUUAUGCACCAUUGGAUGAGCCUGCACUUGAUUAGUUUGUUGGUGGGGUAAUGGCCUACCAAGACUGUGAUCAAUAGCUGAUUUGAGAGGAUGAUCAGCCACAUUGGGACUGAGACACGGCCCAAACUCCUACGGGAGGCAGCAGUGGGGAAUCUUGCACAAUGGAGGAAACUCUGAUGCAGCGAUGCCGCGUGAGUGAAGAAGGCCUUUGGGUUGUAAAGCUCUUUCGUCGGGGAAGAAAAUGACUGUACCCGAAUAAGAAGGUCCGGCUAACUUCGUGCCAGCAGCCGCGGUAAUACGAAGGGACCUAGCGUAGUUCGGAAUUACUGGGCUUAAAGAGUUCGUAGGUGGUUGAAAAAGUUAGUGGUGAAAUCCCAGAGCUUAACUCUGGAACUGCCAUUAAAACUUUUCAGCUAGAGUAUGAUAGAGGAAAGCAGAAUUUCUAGUGUA